Molecule: ribosomal RNA, 438 nt
Filed under: uncultured bacterium
Lineage: Bacteria
Description: bacterial SSU rRNA
Rfam family: Bacterial small subunit ribosomal RNA
Source: RNAcentral
AUUCGAUGCAACGCGAAGAACCUUACCAAAUCUUGACAUACCUAUGACAGGCAAGUAAUGUUGCCCUUCCUUCGGGACAUAGGAUACAGGUGGUGCAUGGUUGUCGUCAGCUCGUGUCGUGAGAUGUUGGGUUAAGUCCCGCAACGAGCGCAACCCUUGUCCUUAGUAGCCAGCAGUAAGAUGGGCACUCUAGGGAGACUGCCAGGGAUAACCUGGAGGAAGGUGGGGAUGACGUCAAAUCAUCAUGCCCCUUAUGAUUUGGGCUACACACGUGCUACAAUGGCGUAAACAAAGAGAAGCGAGCCUGCGAGGGGGAGCAAAUCUCAAAAAUAACGUCUCAGUUCGGAUUGUAGGCUGCAACUCGCCUACAUGAAGCUGGAAUCGCUAGUAAUCGCGAAUCAGAAUGUCGCGGUGAAUACGUUCCCGGGCCUAGUACAC